Molecule: ribosomal RNA, 222 nt
Filed under: uncultured bacterium
Lineage: Bacteria
Description: partial 16S ribosomal RNA
Rfam family: Bacterial small subunit ribosomal RNA
Source: RNAcentral
UACAGAGGGUGCGAGCGUUAAUCGGAAUUACUGGGCGUAAAGCGUGCGUAGACGGCUAUCUAAGUCGGGUGUGAAAGCCCCGGGCUCAACCUGGGAAUUGCAUUCGAGACUGAAUAGCUAGGGUACGGUAGAGGGAAGUGGGAAUUUCCGGUGUAGCGGUGAAAUGCGUAGAUAUCGGAAGGAACAUCAGUGGCGAAAGCGACUUCCUGGACCAGUACCGAC